This 494-nucleotide ribosomal RNA is filed under the name uncultured bacterium. RNAcentral describes it as "partial 16S ribosomal RNA". It matches the Rfam family "Bacterial small subunit ribosomal RNA", at positions 28 to 507 of the family's 1533-position model. The record is from RNAcentral.
GACGAACGCUGGCGGCGUGCUUAACACAUGCAAGUCGAACGGUGAAGCGCCUUCCUUUUUGGUGGGUGUGGAUGAGUGGCGAACGGGUGAGUAACACGUGAGUAACCUGCCCCCUUCUUCUGGAUAACCGCAUGAAAGUGUGGCUAAUACGGGAUAUUCUGGGUCUGUCGCAUGAUGGGUCUGGGAAAGAUAUUGUUUCGGUGGGGGAUGGGCUCGCGGCCUAUCAGCUUGUUGGUGGGGUGAUGGCCUACCAAGGCGGUGACGGGUAGCCGGCCUGAGAGGGUUGACGGUCACACUGGGACUGAGACACGGCCCAGACUCCUACGGGAGGCAGCAGUGGGGAAUAUUGCACAAUGGGCGCAAGCCUGAUGCAGCGACGCCGCGGGAGGGAUGGAGGCCUUCGGGUUGUGAACCUCUUUCGCCAGUGAAGCAGGCCUGCCUCGUUUGUGGGUGGGUUGACGGUAGCUGGAUAAGAAGCGCCGGCUAACUACGUG